Molecule: ribosomal RNA, 856 nt
Filed under: Furcellaria lumbricalis
Lineage: Eukaryota; Rhodophyta; Florideophyceae; Gigartinales; Furcellariaceae
Description: eukaryotic LSU rRNA
Rfam family: Eukaryotic large subunit ribosomal RNA
Source: RNAcentral
AAGCCUGCUUGCAGGCGUUGUAUUUGAGCGUUCUCGGGGUGUCAGUGCGGGCAAGUUGCAUGGAAAUGCACGCCGUGGAGGGUGAGAGCCCCGUCCAACCCACASAGGACACGCCGUACGAGAGCGUUUCAGGCGAGUCGGGUAGCUUGGGAAUGCUGCUCUAAUCGGUGGUAAAUCUCAUCGAAGGCUAAAUAGCGGCUGGAGACCGAUAGCGAACAAGUACCGUGAGGGAAAGAUGACAAGCACUUUGAAAAGAGGGUGAAAAGAGCCUGAAAMCGUCAUGGGGGAAGCGGAUCGCGUUGGCCUGGUGGGCGCCUGUGUGUUCAGCCUUCGGGUGCAUUGGCACAGGUGCUUAUCCGCUGUGGGUUUUCGGGGGUCGAUUUUGGAUCCCUGGAGGCUGAGGGCUCCCUUCGGGUGAGGACAGCGGAGUGACGACGCGAUACGACCCGUCUUGAAACACGGACCAAGGAGUCUAGCGCGGGUGCGAGUCGGAGGGUGCAAGCCCGUGGGCGAAGUGAAAGCGAGUGUAAAAACGAGCAGUUUGGGGCGGCAUAAGAUCGUUGAUCUCAAGACCGACCCAGAGCAGUUGCGCUGGGACCCGAAAGAUGGUGAACUAUGCCGGAGUAGGGCAAAGCCAGAGGAAACUCUGGUGGAGGCUCGUAGCGGUGCUGACGUGCAAAUCGCUCGUCCAACUUGGGUAUAGGGGCGAAAGACUAAUCGAACCAUCUAGUAGCUGGUUCCCUCCGAAGUUUCUCUCAGGAUAGCGGGCCGACAAGUUGUUUUGUGCGGUAAAGCGAAUGAUUAGCGCACGUGGGGCCAUUUCGGCUUCAGGCGAUUCUCAAACUUUAAAUGCGCA